Molecule: ribosomal RNA, 463 nt
Filed under: Vreelandella stevensii
Lineage: Bacteria; Pseudomonadati; Pseudomonadota; Gammaproteobacteria; Oceanospirillales; Halomonadaceae
Description: partial 16S ribosomal RNA
Rfam family: Bacterial small subunit ribosomal RNA
Source: RNAcentral
CCUACGGGGCAGCAGUGGGGAAUAUUGGACAAUGGGGGCAACCCUGAUCCAGCCAUGCCGCGUGUGUGAAGAAGGCCCUCGGGUUGUAAAGCACUUUCAGUGAGGAAGAACGCCUGGUGGUUAAUACCCAUCAGGAAAGACAUCACUCACAGAAGAAGCACCGGCUAACUCCGUGCCAGCAGCCGCGGUAAUACGGAGGGUGCGAGCGUUAAUCGGAAUUACUGGGCGUAAAGCGCGCGUAGGUGGCUUGAUAAGCCGGUUGUGAAAGCCCCGGGCUCAACCUGGGAACGGCAUCCGGAACUAUCAAGCUAGAGUGCAGGAGAGGAAGGUAGAAUUCCCGGUGUAGCGGUGAAAUGCGUAGAGAUCGGGAGGAAUACCAGUGGCGAAGGCGGCCUUCUGGACUGACACUGACACUGAGGUGCGAAAGCGUGGGUAGCAAACAGGAUUAGAUACCCCUGUAGUC